UACAGAGGGUGCGAGCGUUAAUCGGAUUUACUGGGCGUAAAGGGUGCGUAGGCGGUUGUAUGAGUGUGAUGUGAAAGCCCUGGGCUUAACCUAGGAAGUGCAUCGCAAACGAUACAGCUAGAGUGUGAGAGAGGGUGGUGGAAUUUCCGGUGUAGCGGUGAAAUGCGUAGAGAUCGGAAGGAACGUCAAUGGCGAAGGCAGCCACCUGGCUCAAUACUGACGCUGAGGCACGAAAGCGUGGGGAGCGAACAGG
This 253-nucleotide ribosomal RNA is filed under the name uncultured Aquicella sp. RNAcentral describes it as "partial 16S ribosomal RNA". It matches the Rfam family "Bacterial small subunit ribosomal RNA", at positions 524 to 776 of the family's 1533-position model. Lineage: Bacteria; Pseudomonadati; Pseudomonadota; Gammaproteobacteria; Legionellales; Coxiellaceae. The record is from RNAcentral.